RNAcentral lists this long non-coding RNA (4725 nucleotides) under Homo sapiens (human). RNAcentral's name for it is "HSALNT0197283". Lineage: Eukaryota; Metazoa; Chordata; Mammalia; Primates; Hominidae. The record is from RNAcentral.
GGUGUAGAUAUUUUUCAGCCCUUGAAUUUUCUUUCUUUCACCUUUCCACUCCUCUCUGGUGCUAAGGAGCCUAAGACGAGAAGAUAACCCCAGUUGUAUUCACGGUGGGUUAUAUGCUUUUUCAUAUUUUUCCUAAUAUGGACAGUGUUUAUUCUCCAUCUCUCCUUUCACUUCUCACGUUAACGGCAAUGAUAAUAAAAGAGCAUCGAAAGUGAUCAAAGAAAAUAUAGUGAAGAAAGAAAGAAUCCAGGGGCUUGGAGACCAGAAGAGACUUCAAUGUAUCUGAGGCCACGUGGCUGAGAUGGGGCUCCCACGGUGCAGCACAUGGCACAGGCUUAGCAAAUCGAAUCAGCACAGCCCAUGCACAAGGCAUUGGAUCUUGUUCAGAGACAGGCAUUGUAGCCUAGAACCUUCACAUCAGACUGGUCGUCAGAACUCUGGCAUGGCCACAGGAACAGAGCUGCUUUCUGCCCUGCUGGACUCGAGCUUGGAAAGUUGAGCCCUCACCUUGCUGUCCAGAUGACCUCCUUCCAGAAUGGCCUCCAGGACCUGCCAAGGCUCUGGACCUCCUGUCUGACUCCCAGAAGUUCCUCUACUUCAGAGGACUCAUGUUGGAUUUCUUUCAACAUUCAUUCUCUGAGUAUUUUCAGAUUUGUACUUGAAUUUGAGUAGAGACUAUCAGCUGUCCCCUUCUUCCUCUGUGCCCUUUGGGCAUGGCACAUGGUUCACCAGGAUACAAGAUGACAUUUCCUUGCUUCCCUUGCAGCUAGGCACAGCUGGUAUGUCUGUUCUGUCAUGGGACAUGACACAGAGCUUCUGGGUCAAGAGCUUCUGGGUCCUGCACUUAAAAGAAGGCAGCAGGCUCCUGGCUUACCCUUUGUCCCUCUCCCUGGCUGGAGUUCAUGGUGGUGAUGAGCUAUCUUGGAUUGCACUGACUGUAGCAACAUUUUGGGGUGAUGGAGCCACAAGCUGGCAGGAGUCUGGGUACCUGCCACCUUUGCAGAGUGGAAGCUGCUACAAGAACUCAAACACACAAACAAGAGAGAAAUCUGCUCUAUCUUGAUGAACCAGGGAUUUGGGGGCUGCUGUCACAGAAGCUGAUCCCUUUAUCCUACUCAAUCUACACCCACCAUGGUUACAGGGGUGACCACUGUGGUUUUAAGAUGGUCGCUUGCCCUUGUCUGCUCCACGGGAGGAAGGCGAGGCAUGCAGAGCCUCAGCCCAGGCAGCCGGUGAAGUAUUAAGGUGAUUUGCUUUCAUCCUACACUUAAGCUGCAGUGCUUCCUUCUAAGGUGGGGAAAUUAAAGACAUGAUGAAUGAGGCGUCUUUGCCAUUUAGCCGGCCUAGUUUACACACCCCUGGUGAGAAAAUACUGCAUUGGAGAUGGAACAAGCAGGGAAUAAUAAGGACCACUUAUGAAGAAUUAAUGUGAUGCUGAAAACAGAAAGAAAAAAAACUUAUUAGGUUACCCAGGAAAGGCAUGGAGAACAGCCUUACGGAACAACCUGUCAUGAUGUCUUUGAGAAAAGAAGUAAGAGGUCUGAAGGGCCAAUUUAAAGUUAUUAAGAUAAUCUCUCUAUGUUAAGAGACUGUCUCUUUUCGUACCGCUUUUAAAAAAUAGGUGUUGCUACGUUUUCUCCUGAACCACAACCUCAAAUAUUUUGCCAACUUAAGAGGCUUGGGUGUCAUUUCAGAAUGCUUGGCGCCAAGCCACAUGGGCUUGUGCAAAGUGACAGAGGAGAGAGAGAUGCGGUUUCCAGUUUUGCGGAGGCUGUAGUUUGGGGUAGAUGGUGGUGGGAAGGUAGACGCGCAUUGGAUCCUUAUUUGGGGUUAUUGGGAUAGUCUAACUGGUUGACGGUAUCUUCCUGGAUCACUCCCCCCAACACCCCACCCAUCUCUUCUCUGCCCCACUGCCCUCCCUCGCUCUCCAUCCUCCCAUUGGCUGGGCUUGCAAGUACUAGCACACCAUCUUGAAUCAUAUCAACAAGGGCAGCCUCUAGUGCCAGGAGAAAAGAGACUGGGCUUCUGAUGGCAUUGCAGAGCAGAGGCACCAAACCACUUUGGAUCUCUAUGGAACAGAAAAAAUUACGUUUUUGAAAUUCAUACCACUUUAAACAAAGUCUCUUUUGCAAGCAAUUGGCCCAUAUCCUAAGUCAUACACUUCUUUAUGUGGGUUCCUUAACACUGCACACCUCUUCUUUAUAGCAUUUGCCAUAGUUGCAACUGAAUACUUUUUGGCAUGCAUCUUUUCUAACCAACAAUGACGUCCACACGGUCAUCGUCCAGACCUAAUGAACCCUAAUAUGCCCACUGCUUAGAAGGCACUUAAUAAUUAUUUGACUGAUGAAUAUAAAUACAGAAGUUCAGGUGCUUCCUCUAAGACCUUCCAAUCAGGCUGCUGUAGUCAGAGGUCCCUAACUGGGAGGGUUUAACAGGCAUGCAGAAGGCAGCGUGUGAAGACUCUUCCGUUUUCAAGCUUUUAGGGGAACAGCCUGAGCUUUCCUGCUCCCUGCAAGUCUCUGAUUUCUGAGAGGCAGCCUGGCAUGAAAAAAUAAAGAUGAAGAAGCUCUAUAUUUCCUUAUGAUUAGCAAAUUUCAAGCUUGGGCAAAGCCAUGAAGUUCUUGCCAACUGGAAUGACAUCUUAACAAAAUGUCUAUAUGUCCAGCAGUGCCUAGUACAACAUUGACAUAAAAACUUUGCUUCAUAAAUCCCUCACUGCAUGAAGAAUAAAUCCUCCCCCUGCCUUUAUCACAGCUGUUGAGAGGAGGAGAGCUGGCAGGGAGGUCUGGGGGAAGGAAAGAAGCCAUGGGGCAUGACAGUAGCUUUGGUUUUUGCUUGCAUUUCCCUUCCAAAACCUUGCGGCUCCAUCAUUGACUCCUAGGGCGCCCUUCUUUCAGCACAUAGAGACUGUCUGAGCCUCUUCCUUUAUCUGUACGGUGGGACAACAGGCUCUAAUUCAAUAUAUCAUGACAAGCAUCAUUCAUUUAUCUAGUCAUUCAGCAUUCAUACUCUCAACACGAGGGCUCUCUGAUCCCAUUUCUUCAUCUGUAAACUAGAGACAAGAUAACUCAACAUAUUGUUACAAAGAUCUUUCACUCAGCAAUACAUGUAUUCAUGCAGCAAAUAUUUCCAUCCCUUCCCUGUGCCAGGAACUGAGUUAAGCCCUAAACACACAGACGUGAGGGCGAUAGGCACUUCCCUGCCAUGGUGAAAUCUGCAUUCUCAUGGAGAGACAGAUGGCAAACAAAGAAACAAGGUGAUUCCAUACAGUUUUGACUGGGGACCACAUGUCAGACUAUGAUGGGAAUGAAGAAAGCAGAAACUCCUCAUUCUGGCCAUGAAAUACCUUAAAUGAGGCUUGGGUGCCAAAAGAAAUAAGCUUCCAGAGGAGAAACUGGAAAGGGAGAAGGGGAGAGGGAAAUAGUUCACAUUGCAGGAAGAAGCAAACAGAAGGUGUGCUUUCAAUGACCCAGCCUGCAGCCUGACCCUGUGGGAAGCUCUGAGUCCAACCGUGUCCAUGACAAUUCAGAGUUGUCUGCAGUGGGGGAGAUGGGGCUGAGCUUUCGUAUUCCACACCUGUCCAUCAUCAGCAAAGAGGAUCCCAGGAAGAAGCUCCCAGGCUCUUCUAAGAAUCCGCACAAGUGCACAAAAGUGAGGGGCAGCCCCAGGUGGUGCAGUGACGGAAGCAGGUUCAGGAUGACAGAGCCAACCCCAUGAUUACAGACUGAAUUGUUCCCUCCAAAAUUCAUCUCACAAAGCCCUCUGCCCCAGUGUGACUAUAUUUGGAGAGCAGGCUUUUAAGAUGGUAAUUAAGGUUAAAUAAAGUCCUAAGAGGGGGCUCUAAUCCCACAGGACUGGUGUCCUUACGGGAAGAUGAAGAAGCCAAGUUCAGUGGCUCACACCUGUAAUCUCAGCACUUUGGGAGGCCGAGGUAGGUGGAUCACUUGAGCUCAGGAGUUUGAACCCAUCCUGGGCAACAUGAUGAAACCCUAUCUCUACAAAAAAUGCAAACAUUAGCUGGGCUUGGUGGUGCAUGCCUGUAGUCUCAGCUACUUGGCGGAUCGCUUGAGAGGAGGAUCGCUUGAGCCCAGGAAGUCAAGGCUACAGUGAGUCCUGUUUACACCACUGCACCCCAGGCUGGGUGACAGAGCGAGACCCUGUCUCGAAAAAAAAAAAAAGACAAGACACCAGGAGCUUCUCUCUCUCCAUGCACAGAGGAAAGGCCCUCUGAGGACACAAGAUGCCGAGAGGGUGGCGAACUGCAAGCCAGGAAGAGAUCCCUCACCAGAAACCACCCUUGACAGCACCCUGACCUCGGACUUUCCAGAAUUCAGAUGGUGAGAAAAUAAAUUUCUGUGUUUUAAGCCAACCAGUCUGUGGAAUUUUGUUCAGGCAGCCCUAGCUGGCUAACACACCUACCGAGGGAUAUAGAGCAGUGAAAGAGAUUUAACGGGAACCAGGGUGGAGCAGUGUCUGCCAGCUGGGGUGAUCCAUUGGGUGUAUUUCCUUUCAGGACAAGAAUAAGCACAAGCGACAGCUUGUCCUCCGAGGCAGACCUCCCAGGUUUGAAUUCCACCUCCAGCUCUUACUGAGUGGGUUUGAAAAAUGCAUCAUGUCUCGGUUCCCCCCAUGCAAAUUGAGGUCAUGGCUCACUGUGUCUACCUCGAAUGCUUGAAGGAGGAUUAGAUGCUUAGGAGGAUUAUAUGCAAAGCAUUUGGAGAGCGC